GAUGAACGCUGGCGGCGUGCCUAAUACAUGCAAGUCGAACGAAACUUCUUUAUCACCGAGUGCUUGCACUUACCGAUAAAGAGGUGAGUGGCGAACGGGUGAGUAACACGUGGGCAACCUGCACAAAAGAGGGGGAUAACACAUUGAAACAGGUGAUAAUACCACAUAACCAUAAUUACCGCAAGGUAACUAUGUAAAAGGUGACUAUACUACCGCUUUCGGAUUGGCCCGCGGCGCAUUAGCUAGUUGGUAGGGUAAAGGCUUACCAAGGCAAUGAUGCGUAGCCGAAUUGAGAGGUUGAUCGGCCACAUUGGGACUGAGACACGGCCCAAACUCCUACGGGAGGCAGCAGUAGGGAAUCUUCCACAAUGGGCGAAAGCCUGAUGGAGCAACGCCGCGUGGGUGAAGAAGGUCUUCGGAUCGUAAAACCCUGUUGUUAGAGAAGAAAGUACGUGAGAGUAACUGUUCACGUUUCGACGGUAUCUAACCAGAAAGCCACUGCUAACUACGUG
RNAcentral lists this ribosomal RNA (512 nucleotides) under uncultured bacterium. RNAcentral describes it as "partial 16S ribosomal RNA". It matches the Rfam family "Bacterial small subunit ribosomal RNA", at positions 28 to 507 of the family's 1533-position model. The record is from RNAcentral.